GACCUCGGAGCUUAGUUGGUAGAGCAACAUGGCGUAAACCUGAGAGACCUGGGUUCGUAUCCCAGUCGAGGUUG
Molecule: non-coding RNA, 74 nt
Organism: Henosepilachna vigintioctopunctata
Lineage: Eukaryota; Metazoa; Arthropoda; Insecta; Coleoptera; Coccinellidae
Source: the annotation of a GenBank genome assembly